GAUGAACGCUGGCGGCGUGCCUAAUACAUGCAAGUCGAGCGAACGGACGAGAAGCUUGCUUCUCUGAUGUUAGCGGCGGACGGGUGAGUAACACGUGGAUAACCUACCUAUAAGACUGGGAUAACUUCGGGAAACCGGAGCUAAUACCGGAUAAUAUUUUGAACCGCAUGGUUCAAAAGUGAAAGACGGUCUUGCUGUCACUUAUAGAUGGAUCCGCGCUGCAUUAGCUAGUUGGUAAGGUAACGGCUUACCAAGGCAACGAUGCAUAGCCGACCUGAGAGGGUGAUCGGCCACACUGGAACUGAGACACGGUCCAGACUCCUACGGGAGGCAGCAGUAGGGAAUCUUCCGCAAUGGGCGAAAGCCUGACGGAGCAACGCCGCGUGAGUGAUGAAGGUCUUCGGAUCGUAAAACUCUGUUAUUAGGGAAGAACAUAUGUGUAAGUAACUGUGCACAUCUUGACGGUACCUAAUCAGAAAGCCACGGCUAACUACGUGCCAGCAGCCGCGGUAAUACGUAGGUGGCAAGCGUUAUCCGGAAUUAUUGGGCGUAAAGCGCGCGUAGGCGGUUUUUUAAGUCUGAUGUGAAAGCCCACGGCUCAACCGUGGAGGGUCAUUGGAAACUGGAAAACUUGAGUGCAGAAGAGGAAAGUGGAAUUCCAUGUGUAGCGGUGAAAUGCGCAGAGAUAUGGAGGAACACCAGUGGCGAAGGCGACUUUCUGGUCUGUAACUGACGCUGAUGUGCGAAAGCGUGGGGAUCAAACAGGAUUAGAUACCCUGGUAGUCCACGCCGUAAACGAUGAGUGCUAAGUGUUAGGGGGUUUCCGCCCCUUAGUGCUGCAGCUAACGCAUUAAGCACUCCGCCUGGGGAGUACGACCGCAAGGUUGAGACUCAAAGGAAUUGACGGGGACCCGCACAAGCGGUGGAGCAUGUGGUUUAAUUCGAAGCAACGCGAAGAACCUUACCAAAUCUUGACAUCCUUUGACAACUCUAGAGAUAGAGCCUUCCCCUUCGGGGGACAAAGUGACAGGUGGUGCAUGGUUGUCGUCAGCUCGUGUCGUGAGAUGUUGGGUUAAGUCCCGCAACGAGCGCAACCCUUAAGCUUAGUUGCCAUCAUUAAGUUGGGCACUCUAAGUUGACUGCCGGUGACAAACCGGAGGAAGGUGGGGAUGACGUCAAAUCACCAUGCCCCUUAUGAUUUGGGCUACACACGUGCUACAAUGGACAAUACAAAGGGCAGCGAAACCGCGAGGUCAAGCAAAUCCCAUAAAGUUGUUCUCAGUUCGGAUUGUAGUCUGCAACUCGACUACAUGAAGCUGGAAUCGCUAGUAAUCGUAGAUCAGCAUGCUACGGUGAAUACGUUCCCGGGUCU
RNAcentral lists this ribosomal RNA (1372 nucleotides) under uncultured bacterium. Its description in RNAcentral is "bacterial SSU rRNA". It matches the Rfam family "Bacterial small subunit ribosomal RNA", at positions 28 to 1381 of the family's 1533-position model. The record is from RNAcentral.